ACCUUUCACCGUAGCAUCAGUCCUCAGUUCACUUCUUGGAACGAACAUCAGCAUAGGUCCAAGCCCUCUCGCUUGGACCAAGCCCUCUCGCUUGGAGGGAUAUGCAAACAAACAUCCUGAUAGGGGUAAACUCGCACGCUACCGAGCAUUCAACCGAGCACAUGCAUGCUUAGUUGAGUGGUGAGAUGCGACCCCCCCUUCAUUUCGUGCUCGGCAAGCCUGCCUCCGCGUACCGGAUAUGUUGGCGAUGUUACAGAGACGCUGCACCUUGGUUUCUGUGCGCAAUGCGUACGAUGCUCGACCCCGCCGACCAAAACUACACGUGCCCAACUGAAGACAUUCCCGGUGGUUGUGCAGCAGCUCUUGAGGCUGUUGCUGGCUGAAAUCCAUCCUGAGCUGUUGCAACACGGCUAACGCGGGCACGUCCCUAUGCACAGCAAAUAGCUGUUCCAAGCCAACAGCGGCGUCCAUGUCACCGACAAGGCUCUAAACGUCUUAUCUGUUCUUAUGUUUAAUUAAGUUUAUGUAUGUUAUACUUUGCGCAACUUUGUAAUUUGACUUUACUCUGAACAAGGUGCUGCAUACAACUGCCUCUUCGCCAGCGCUUCAUCUUCCGCGGCAGUUUCACGAGCCCAGAGUUGCAAGCUACGACGUUGGCUUUCGGUGCUUUUAGUUACUGCAAAGCAUCCACGCAAUAGUCCAGCCUGCAUGCCGCGUGCGGCUAUGGCCAACAUGCCCACCUGCGCAACGCGCUGGCGCACCUGGUCCUUUUCCGCCAAGAAAAUUUAUAUACACUUGUACAGGCGCAUUUUGAGAAUCGCACGCGCGCAUCUGCGCGGUAAAAUUCGCUCCUGGCUUUUGGGGCGUGAUGUACGGACCUUUUAUUCGCGAAGUACGACCGGACACAUUUGUGCGAGAGGCUGCUUAAUGCGCUGGCGCACCUCCAAGAAAUUUAUAUACACUUGUACAGGCGCAUUUUUCGAAUCCCACGCGCGCAUCCGCGCGGUGAAUUUCGCUCCUGGCUUUUUUGGACGAUGUACGAACGGUUUAUUCGCGAAGUACGACGGCUCACAUUUCUGCGAGGGGCUGCUUAAAUAGGGGGGUCCUUGUGAAGCAGCUGCCCGCGUUUCCAAAGCACGUAUGGUGUUGGAUUGUAAGGUGCCCAAGUACGUUUGCGAGGAAGAGAAUGUGGCCAGGCUGGAGAAGAAAGUGCAGUGGCAUAUUGGAAUGUGAGAUUAGCGUAAGCGAGUUACAGGGCGUUUGGCGCACGGGCGAAUUUACGUGCAUACCUUUCACCGUAGCAUCAGUCCUCAGUUCACUUCUUGGAACGAACAUCAGCAUAGGUCCAAGCCCUCUCGCUUGGACCAAGCCCUCUCGCUUGGAGGGAUAUGCAAACAAACAUCCUGAUAGGGGUAAACUCGCACGCUACCGAGCAUUCAACCGAGCACAUGCAUGCUUAGUUGAGUGGUGAGAUGCGACCCCCCCUUCAUUUCGUGCUCGGCAAGCCUGCCUCCGCGUACCGGAUAUGUUGGCGAUGUUACAGAGACGCUGCACCUUGGUUUCUGUGCGCAAUGCGUACGAUGCUCGACCCCGC
Molecule: long non-coding RNA, 1594 nt
Filed under: Volvox carteri
Lineage: Eukaryota; Viridiplantae; Chlorophyta; Chlorophyceae; Chlamydomonadales; Volvocaceae
Description: long non-coding RNA (VCAR_LNC004027)
Source: RNAcentral